Long non-coding RNA from Monopterus albus (swamp eel), 1439 nucleotides. RefSeq lists it as uncharacterized. The transcript has 5 exons. Lineage: Eukaryota; Metazoa; Chordata; Actinopteri; Synbranchiformes; Synbranchidae. The record is from RefSeq and is a predicted model, not a curated record.
UCUGAACACACUCGAUCCAAAGUGAUUCACAUGACAAACAGAACCAAUCAGCUGAUUCACCUGACGUCCGACGAACCCAACUGCUUUGGACGUCACUCAAGUGAUUCAAACGUCACUAGUCACGUGACCGAAACACGCCUCGGCACAGUGGUUCGAAACAAUUGCUUUAUGAGCUACCGCGCAUGUGUCGGAGCCUCUGGUGUUAUAGGGCCAUCACUAUCUAUGGGUAUUCACUUUAGACUCGGCUCCUCCGCAUCCACCGUUUGGUUUGUCCCUGUCUGAAGUUGGACGCAACUUUCUCCAGACACUGAGUUUCCUGUGGACCUCUACAGGGGACUGGACUUUGCCUCAGCUCAGCUGUUGUCUGGUACUUGAUUUUUGUACUACCUCCUGAGGGGUGCUGACAUCUAUCUCCCAGAACACACCACCAAAGUGGGCGCACCAUAGUGGAAACAAGUGCAGAACCUGUGACAAGUAUUACUCACCGCGACACAUUUGGGAAACACGCAAGCAAGUAGUGCUUCAGGCCAAAGACGCAACUAAGGUAUCCAGGUUUUAUUGCAGCCUUGGUGAGCGCAGCGAGACUGGAAGAGCCCAUUGCUACCUGUGAGCCACUGACUUCAGGCCAUGUUGUACGUCAACAUGCGACUCGUCCACGUUUCCUCCCUGAUACACUGACCUCACUUCAGGUUACCGUGUAGUGUCCUCGUGCUGUGUCGCCAUCUACAGGUCACAGUCUGCAGCUGCAGCCACAGAGCUUUGGGACGCACUGACAACUUCAAAGGAACAAUAGUACAAUUAUUAGUUUACCUUUGUUCUUCAGCAGUGAUUAUUUUAGUUUUAUAUUUUCUUUGGGUAAAUUCUUAUGUUCUAGUUCAUGAAAAUGUUACAAAUAGUCAUUUUUACUGUACAAUAUGAAGGUGACCCUGGAUUAAAGUAGCACAGUCAAGUUUGUGCUGUGGUUUUACUAGGACAAAGAGUUCAUGUCCAAAUUAAAACAGAUCAUUUAGGGAAUCUAAAUGUGUCUUUAUACAGCCGGCAGAGAGAGAGAGAGAGAGAGAGAGAGUGUGUGUGUGUGUGUGUGUGUGUGUGUGUGUGUCAGUCAGAUUGGACACUUGUAACAUCAACAUGUCUGGUCCGUCGGGGUCUGUAGUGAACGGGUGUUGUACUGGUGUAUGGUUGACACCUGUGAAACAUAAAUGCACGUUAUGGAUAUCAGUGUAACUGUGUGUCACGGUCUGCAAGGGUGUCGUUGAUCAAUGCAGGUCAUGUGACAACCGUUUCCUCAUGAUUAUAUACAGUUUUUCUAAACGAUUAAUGCUGUCUGGUUAGUUUCCUAUGCAGGCCGUGCUCAGCAGCUGGUGGAUGUCUGAGCUCAAAGCUGUUGACACUGUUAGGUAUUUUUAGUCAGAUAGAUAUUGGAUAGAUACUUUAUGUAU